UAGGUGAGAAAGUGUGGGGAGAAAACAGGAUUAUAUACCCUGGUAAUCCACGCAGUGAGGGAUGUCGAGUGGGAGGUUGUGCCCUAGAGGCGUGGCUUCGGGAGAUAACGCGUUAAGUCGACCCCCCUGGGAGUUCGCCCGCAAGGUUAAAACUCAAAUGAAAUGUCGGGGGCCCGCACAAGCGGUGGAGCAUGUGGUUUAAUUCGAGAAAACAAGAAGAACCUUACCUGGUCUUGACAUCCACCGAACUUUUCAGAGAUGAGUAUGUGCCUUCGGGAACCGUGAGACAGGUGCUGCAUGGCUGUCGUCAGCUCGUGUUGUGAAAUGUUGGGUUAAGUCCCGCAACGAGCGCAACCCUUAUCCUUUGUUGCCAGCGGUCCGGCCGGGAACUCAAAGGAGACUUCCAGUGAUAAACUGGAGGAAGGUGGGGAUGACGUCAAGUCAUCAUGGCCCUUACGACCAGGGCUACACACGUGCUACAAUGGCGCAUACAAAGAGAAGCGACCUCGCGAGAGCAAGCGGACCUCAUAAAGUGCGUCGUAGUCCGGAUUGGAGUCUGCAACUCGACUCCAUGAAGUCGGAAUCGCUAGUAAUCGU
Molecule: ribosomal RNA, 597 nt
Filed under: Escherichia coli
Lineage: Bacteria; Pseudomonadati; Pseudomonadota; Gammaproteobacteria; Enterobacterales; Enterobacteriaceae
Description: bacterial SSU rRNA
Rfam family: Bacterial small subunit ribosomal RNA
Source: RNAcentral